This 167-nucleotide ribosomal RNA is filed under the name Marchantia tosayamensis. RNAcentral describes it as "5.8S rRNA". It matches the Rfam family "5.8S ribosomal RNA". From Rfam's summary of the family: 5.8S ribosomal RNA (5.8S rRNA) is a component of the large subunit of the eukaryotic ribosome. It is transcribed by RNA polymerase I as part of the 45S precursor that also contains 18S and 28S rRNA. Lineage: Eukaryota; Viridiplantae; Streptophyta; Marchantiopsida; Marchantiales; Marchantiaceae. The record is from RNAcentral.
AAAAAACAAAUUACGACUCUCAGCAACGGAUAUCUUGGCUCUCGCAACGAUGAAGAACGCAGCGAAAUGCGAUACCUAGUGUGAAUUGCAGAAUUCCGCGAAUCAUCGAGUUUUUGAACGCAUGUUGCGCCCGAGGUUUUUCCGAGGGCAUGUCUGCCUGAGCGUCA